AACUAACGCUGGCGGCGUGCCUAACACAUGCAAGUCGUACGAGAAAGCCGGCUUCGGCUGGUGAGUAAAGUGGCGCACGGGUGAGUAACGCGUGGAUAAUCUGCCCUUAAGUGUGGAAUAACGUACCGAAAGGUGCGCUAAUACCGCAUAAUGCCUGGCAACACAAGUUGUCCGGCCAAAGAAGGCCUCUGUUUACAAGCUUUCGCUUCAGGAUGAGUCCGCGUACCAUUAGCUUGUUGGUGGGGUAAUGGCCUACCAAGGCUGCGAUGGUUAGCUGGUCUGAGAGGAUGAUCAGCCACACUGGAACUGAGACACGGUCCAGACUCCUACGGGAGGCAGCAGUGAGGAAUAUUGCGCAAUGGGGGCAACCCUGACGCAGCAACGCCGCGUGAGUGAGGAAGGUUUUCGGAUUGAAACCUCUGUUCUUGGUGACGAAAAGUGACGGUAGCCGAAAGGAGAAAGCCCCGGACUAACGUAUGUGCCAGCAGCCGCGGUAACG
RNAcentral lists this ribosomal RNA (499 nucleotides) under uncultured bacterium. RNAcentral's name for it is "bacterial SSU rRNA". It matches the Rfam family "Bacterial small subunit ribosomal RNA", at positions 29 to 525 of the family's 1533-position model. The record is from RNAcentral.